This 72-nucleotide transfer RNA is filed under the name Camelus bactrianus (Bactrian camel). It matches the Rfam family "tRNA". Rfam says of the family: Transfer RNA (tRNA) molecules are approximately 80 nucleotides in length. RNAcentral also lists the same sequence under 2 other names. The record is from Rfam by way of RNAcentral. Lineage: Eukaryota; Metazoa; Chordata; Mammalia; Artiodactyla; Camelidae.
GGGUGUAUAGCUCAGUGGUAAAGCACAUGUUUAGUAUGCACAAGGUCCUGAGUUCAAUCCCCAGUACCUCCA